GAAUGCUGACAUAAGUAACGAUAAAGCGGGUGAAAAGCCCGCUCGCCGGAAGACCAAGGGUUCCUGUCCAACGUUAAUCGGGGCAGGGUGAGUCGACCCCUAAGGCGAGGCCGAAAGGCGUAGUCGAUGGGAAACGGGUUAAUAUUCCCGUACUUGGUGUUACUGCGAAGGGGGGACGGAGAAGGCUAUGUUGGCCGGGCGACGGUUGUCCCGGUUUAAGCGUGUAGGUGUGUGUUCCAGGUAAAUCCGGUUCACUUUAACACUGAGGCGUGACGACGAGGCACUACGGUGCUGAAGCAACAAAUGCCCUGCUUCCAGGAAAAGCCUCUAAGCAUCAGGUAACACGAAAUCGUACCCCAAACCGACACAGGUGGUCAGGUAGAGAAUACCAAGGCGCUUGAGAGAACUCGGGUGAAGGAACUAGGCAAAAUGGUGCCGUAACUUCGGGAGAAGGCACGCUGAC
RNAcentral lists this ribosomal RNA (463 nucleotides) under Salmonella enterica. Its description in RNAcentral is "partial 23S ribosomal RNA". It matches the Rfam family "Bacterial large subunit ribosomal RNA", at positions 1292 to 1755 of the family's 2925-position model. Lineage: Bacteria; Pseudomonadati; Pseudomonadota; Gammaproteobacteria; Enterobacterales; Enterobacteriaceae. The record is from RNAcentral.